Molecule: unclassified non-coding RNA, 380 nt
Filed under: soil metagenome
Description: partial contains 5.8S ribosomal RNA, internal transcribed spacer 2, and large subunit ribosomal RNA
Rfam family: 5.8S ribosomal RNA (bases 1-120)
Source: RNAcentral
GAUGAAGAACGCAGCGAAAUGUGAUAAGUAAUGUGAAUUGCAGAAUUCAGUGAAUCAUCGAAUCUUUGAACGCACCUUGCACCCUUUGGCAUUCUGAAGGGUAUGCUCGUUUGAGUGUCAUUGUACUCUCACACUCCCGAUCUUUGCAUUGGGAGCAGUGGACUUGGGUUUGCUGCUUCACCGUCGCUUACCUCAAAUAGGUUAGUGCAACUCUUGGUUGGACAUAGUACGGCGUGAUAAGUGUUCUUCGCCGGUGCCUCGCAAAGAGGGUGGCCGAUCGGGAUGUUGUGCUCCAAACCGUCUUCGGACAAUCUCUGACGACUUGACCUCAAAUCGAGUAAGACUACCCGCUGAACUUAAGCAUAUCAAUAAGCGGAGGA